RNAcentral lists this small RNA (62 nucleotides) under Salmonella enterica. Its description in RNAcentral is "partial RtT sRNA". It matches the Rfam family "RtT RNA", at positions 1 to 62 of the family's 130-position model. From Rfam's summary of the family: This family represents a bacterial cis-regulatory element known as RtT RNA. The exact function of RtT is unknown although it is thought that it may be involved in changing the cellular response in relation to amino acid starvation. Lineage: Bacteria; Pseudomonadati; Pseudomonadota; Gammaproteobacteria; Enterobacterales; Enterobacteriaceae. The record is from RNAcentral.
UAUCUCUCCGUACGGGGAAGGAUGAGAAGCUUCGACCAAGGUUCGAUUCGAGCGCAGCGAGA